RNAcentral lists this ribosomal RNA (585 nucleotides) under uncultured bacterium. RNAcentral describes it as "partial 16S ribosomal RNA". It matches the Rfam family "Bacterial small subunit ribosomal RNA", at positions 355 to 1375 of the family's 1533-position model. The record is from RNAcentral.
UGGGGAAUUUUGGACAAUGGGCGAAAGCCUGAUCCAGCAAUGCCGCGUGUGUGAAGAAGGCCUUCGGGUUGUAAAGCACUUUUGUCCGGAAAGAAAUCCUUGGCUCUAAUACAGUCGGGGGAUGACGGUACCGGAAGAAUAAGCACCGGCUAACUACGUGCCAGCAGCCGCGGUAAUACGUAUGGUGCAAGCGUUAAUCGGAAUUACUGGGCGUAAAGCGUGCGCAGGCGGUUUGCUAAGACCGAUGUGAAAUCCCCGGGCUCAACCUGGGAACUGCAUUGGUGACUGGCAGGCUAGAGUAUGGCAGAGGGGGGUAGAAUUCCACGUGUAGCAGUGAAAUGCGUAGAGAUGUGGAGGAAUACCGAUGGCGAAGGCAGCCCCCUGGGCCAAUACUGACGCUCAUGCACGAAAGCGUGGGGAGCAAACAGGAUUAGAUACCCUGGUAGUCCACGCCCUAAACGAUGUCAACUAGUUGUUGGGGAUUCAUUUCCUUAGUAACGUAGCUAACGCGUGAAGUUGACCGCCUGGGGAGUACGGUCGCAAGAUUAAAACUCAAAGGAAUUGACGGGGUCAUAGCUGUUUCCU